This 427-nucleotide ribosomal RNA is filed under the name uncultured prokaryote. Its description in RNAcentral is "bacterial SSU rRNA". It matches the Rfam family "Bacterial small subunit ribosomal RNA", at positions 355 to 774 of the family's 1533-position model. The record is from RNAcentral.
UAGGGAAUAUUGGUCAAUGGGCGCAAGCCUGAACCAGCCAUGCCGCGUGAGUGAUGAAGGCCUUCGGGUCGUAAAACUCUUUUCUGAGGGAAGAACAUCCUGCGUAGGAAAUGACGCGGGCUUGACGGUACCUUAGGAAUAAGCAACGGCUAACUCCGUGCCAGCAGCCGCGGUAAUACGGAGGUUGCAAGCGUUGUUCGGAAUGACUGGGCGUAAAGGGGGCGCAGGCGGUUGGGCAAGUCCAAAGUGAAAGCCCGGGGCGCAACGCCGGAAGUGCUUUGGAUACGGCCUUACUCGAGUUCGUGAGAGGAAAGCGGAAUUCCAGGUGUAGCGGUGAAAUGCGUAGGUAUCUGGAGGAACACCGGUGGCGAAAGCGGCUUUCUGGCACGAUACUGACGCUGAGGCUCGAAAGCGUGGGGAGCAAACA